UAUGUAAAGUAAAUACCUCCUUGUCUCUUGAACCCUAGAAAGGAAGAGGAGGGAAAAGACAGGGAAUGUAGCUUAAUGCCAGCAUAAGCAAAGGCAUUGGGUUUAAUAUUCAGCAUUGGAAGGGGCAGGGGAGGGGGGAAAACCACACAUAUUCAGUAACAUAUAUACAGAAAAGGUUGUAAGCUGAGAGAGAGAAAUAUGUAUGUAUAUGUAUUAUAUAUCUAUAGAUUAUAUAUCCUGAAGGUUAACAUGUAGUAGAAACAGUAGAGGAAGUAAGUCAAGGAAAGAACACCAACACAAUAGCACAGAGAUGUGGAAAUGAGACAAAGGUGUGGAAAAAGACAGAUGGGGCGUUGGGAUGGGGAGAGCAGGCGGGAGACAGAAAGCAGAAUCUCAAAGCAAUAAAAUGGGCUGGGGCUUCUGGAGACAGUGUGCCUACCCAGCACAAGGAAUCCAAAAGUCACAAUUCAGAACGUAGUGAGCAAAGAAGGCAGAAGUAAUGUCAUAGCAGGCUGCCAGCGUGCCAGAUCUGGGCAGGCUCAGACUCACCGACCCUGGAGCCUCUCCAACUUGGGGGGGUUGGCUCUCUGGCCACACCAGCCCUUCCCUUCCCUUCUUUAUCAGUUCCAAGACAAGCUUGGGAAGUGGAAGCAGGGUUAAGGUCAUAUUCCAAGGGUCUGACGGAAGAGCCAGAUGUGGGGAAGUGACAGAACAUUUUGCUUCAGGGGCAGCUAGGUGGCAUUUGGGUGAGAUACUUGAAAACCUCUGUGUCCCAUUUUCCUCAACUGUAAAAUGAAGUAGCAAUGCUGACCCCCCCCCCCAAGGAUGUUGGACAGGUAAAAAUAAGAUCCCUAGACGAAGACUGCAAGAGUUAACUGAUCCCCGGUUAUCAACGCUGAUAAAGUUGUUUUUCCUCAGUCCAGGCACUGCCUCUCCCAGCCACACCGCAUUGUGAUGUCAUAUACUUUCAAAGACCCCAUGGCAGGCUCUCUCUCACUUCCUGGAGGGAAGGUGACCGUGAAAAACGUGAAAGAAAAGGACCUAAGGGCAAGUGUCCGUGGGGUCUGGGGGUGUCUCGCUCGAUAUUCAGAGGGAGAAGCCCUCUGCUGCUGGGGAAGGCGCCCUUGCCAGGGUUCCGACGGCCUUUGCUAAGGAUAUGAAAAAACAUCUGAGCUGGAAGCCACCUGAGUGUUUUUACUUUAGUAGGGAACCCUUUGCCCUCCCCUUGAAGAGAGCCCUGAAUGACUAGAGUUUCACUUGUGUGGCAGAGGGUGUCCCCGCUGGCCCGGCCAGGGAAGGCUUUUGAAGAUGAGAGGAACCGGUCUGCAAGACCACUUCAGGCAUAUGUAACAAGACACAAUACAGUUUGUCAGCUGUCGCUUGUGCCAGAGGAAGGAACUGGAGAGUCUGGCUACUGGGCCAAGGAGGAGGGCCUGGGGAGACUGUUCUCAUUCACAGGCUUCUGUCGGUUCUUAUUCUUGAGAAAACCUCCUCUACCUUGCCCUCAGAGUACGUCCGAAGAAUUGGAAGAGGGCCUGGGGAGUGUGCUUGGUGGAUUCACUACAGGCAUUUCCAGAGGAUACUUUAGUCAACUUUUAAGCAUCUACAAAAGAAACGGUUCCACGUAAGAAUGAGAGAUGAAUUCCCAAAGCUGUGUCACGCAGGAGGUCUAGUGAGGAGGACACAGGACAGGCAGUGGUAGUUACAGGAGGGAAGACCUAGGAGUUCUUCCAGGUUGGUGCCAAGUGUCAUGAGUCUCAUGUAGCCCAAUGCUGGACAGCAUAUUCUUUUAAGUGUUGGCUGGAUGAAUGAAUGUAUGCAUGAAUGAAUGAAUGAAUGAAUGAAUGAAAGGGGGUGGCGAAUAAAAGUGUCUCAGGAUCUGCCCAACUCAAUGUCCCUCAUUUAAUAAUAAAGUGGUCUUCCCUGGAGCCCUGCAAAAGGCACUGUAAUGAACUCUUCAAAGCCACCCAGCUGCCACCACCCCACCCCACCGACCUGAAAGUUCUAAAGACCCCAGAGUAAGCCAGGAUUCAGCCUUCCCGACUUGGCAGCUUUGGAAAGCUUGAGAAGGUUUGGAGGUCCACAGGCAUGCCACACUCCAAGGAUAUCUUACCUCUUUCGACCCCUGGUUUCUCCUCUGAUUUGUUGAGCAUAUAACCAUCAAUUGUACUCGGGAUACUAUGUAGAAAGUUACCUGGUUUUUGCACAGGACUCUCCUUGUAACCUGGAUGUCUCGGCCCUUCAGAUGCUUCUCCUGUUCAAGAGGCAAGAGGCAGGAGGCUUGAAAUGGGCAAUCUGAUCACGGCCCUGCUCUGAAUGGAUCACAGGGACUAUUGCUAAUGCUACCAAAGAGCAGGGUAUCAUACUUAUUCCUGCACUGUCUCCUUGCCCCACACUCCUGCUUUUCCCAUUUUCUCGCAGUUCACGUACACAGGAAUUGUUUCCUGGCCAUGCCCUCUUGUUACCAUCAUUCCUGGUUGAAAUACUGGAGAAGCAUUGUAAUCUCCCCAGGAAGCUUCCACUGUCUGGCCUCAUGGGAUAAUUGUUACCAAAAACCACCAAUCAAGCAGUAGGUGAAGUCUAACUAGAUGGAAGAGCUGCAUACAUAAUGACCUUAAAUGUACAUAAGAAUAUGUGCCUGACAUUCUCAAACCUGAGCAGUAGAUACUGAUGGAAAUACAGGUCAGUGAGUGCCGGGGUCCCGAGCCAAUAAAGCCAUGCUAAAAUAAUUACUACCAA
Long non-coding RNA from Peromyscus eremicus (cactus mouse), 2739 nucleotides. RefSeq lists it as uncharacterized. The record is from RefSeq and is a predicted model, not a curated record. NCBI's taxonomy places the organism in Eukaryota, Metazoa, Chordata, Mammalia, Rodentia, Cricetidae. The transcript is spliced from 2 exons.